GAGUUAUGGCGUCAGGAUGAACGCUAGCGGCAGGCUUAACACAUGCAAGUCGAGGGGCAGCGGGGAGUAGCAAUACUCUGCCGGCGACCGGCGCAAGGGUGCGUAACGCGUGAGCAACAUGCCCGUCACAGGGGGAUAAUCCAUGGAAACGUGGUCUAACACCGCAUAGAUUAUAGGAGUGACAUCAUUUUUAUAAGAAAUUCGCAAGAAGGUGACGGAUUGGCUCGCGUAACAUUAGCCAGUUGGUAGGGUAACGGCCUACCAAAGCGACGAUGUUUAGGGGUCCUGAGAGGGAGGUCCCCCACACUGGAACUGAGACACGGUCCAGACUCCUACGGGAGGCAGCAGUGAGGAAUAUUGGACAAUGGAUGGAAAUCUGAUCCAGCCAUGCCGCGUGCCGGGAUGACUGCCCUAUGGGUUGUAAACCGCUUUUGUACGGGAGCAAUAAGGUCCACGUGUGGAUUGAUGAGAGUACUGUACGAAUAAGCAUCGGCUAACUCCGUGCCAGCCGCCGC
Molecule: ribosomal RNA, 515 nt
Filed under: uncultured bacterium
Lineage: Bacteria
Description: bacterial SSU rRNA
Rfam family: Bacterial small subunit ribosomal RNA
Source: RNAcentral